RNAcentral lists this long non-coding RNA (531 nucleotides) under Homo sapiens (human). Its description in RNAcentral is "long intergenic non-protein coding RNA 1884". The record is from RNAcentral. Lineage: Eukaryota; Metazoa; Chordata; Mammalia; Primates; Hominidae.
AGGCCUGCACUCUCAUGAUUUGGAGAUAGCCUCGUAGAAAUGACAACCACAAUGUUAAUACUAACAUAUGUAUUACAUGGUUUGUUUGUUCUUUCGCUUAAUAUUUUCAGAGCACCUACCUAUUAUAGGCACUGUCACUUCUCACAAAACUGGGACAACUAACUGUUUAUCCAACAUCUGCUGGCUAAAUAAAGACAUGAUCUUCACCUUUUGGGAUUGUUAAUUUAAAAUGGUUCCAUAAGAGCAAUGCAAAGACAGAGAUAUUUGGCAGCACUGCAGCUGGUGAUUUAUAUGGCUCUUCACAAGGUGUUAUUUUGGGGUAUCAAGGUAUGGAUGCUUAAAUCAGCUGCAGGAAGUAAGAAAGAAGAAAAAAGGAGUGAUAAAGAUAAAAAAAAAUCAACCUUGGUCCUUCCACCAAGACCCAUUAAUUUCCAUAUCAUCAUCUGCAUAAGAGGGAAGAUUCCUACAUGACCAGGUUACUGCAAGGAUGUGAAUUUUGAAUAUUAAAAUAUUAUACACAAUUGGAAAUAA